GUGCCCAUGCCAUGCACAAGUUCCUGAGUCAGGGAUCAAACCCCUUUGACAGCUACAACUUGAGCCAGAGUGCUAACACUAGAUCCUUAACCCUUGGAGCUACCAGGGAAUUCAGACAUUCUUAGAUUCUCACCUCUCUCACAGAGACAUUCAGACACUUCAACAUGCCCUAUGCUUUGUAUUUUGUUGAAUUUUCUUAUUCUACUUGGCUUUUACCCCAUGAUUUAGACAUUCUAUUGAUUUCCAUGUUUCACACUAAGGACUACUUCUCUAAAGCAUCUAGCAUAACUUUGCCUGUCCUUGAACUUUUUACAAGUGGAAUCUCAUAAUAGGAAUAAUUUAACAUUUUUGCCCAAACUUACGCUUGUUAGAUUUCUGCAUGUCAUUGCAUUUGGCUAUGCUUUGUUCAUUUUCACCGUGGCAUGGGGCUUUGUGAUAGACAUACAGCAAGCAGCUUAUGACCUGUGCUCUAGAUAGACCCAGAGCUCUUUCCAGGUUUGAUUAGAAUUCCUGUCCACAAACCCUAAUGCAAAUAUGCAGAGGUUUCUUUGGUGCAUACCCAAGAUGUUACAUAUGCUUGUGUUACUAAAUAAUGCUAAACUAUAGCAACUUAUGUUCCCACCAGCCAGUAGGAGUUUCUGUUCCAAAGCCCUCCUACCAUAAUCUGAUCUUGCAAGAUUUUUUCCCUUUUUUUUGGGGGGGGGACCCCUGAAGCAUAUGGAGCUCCCCAGCCUGGGGGUCUGGCAUGUGGAAGACGAGCUCCAGAACAUUUGGAGUUAAAGGUCAGUGGAGUUUGAGCACAGUACCUCCACAGGAAUGAGAGAUAGACUCCACUCUGGGAGGGUGCUCAAGGUCUCACUGGGUCCCAGGGCAAAGCGGGGAUUCCAUAAAAAUCUGGGGCAGGCCGUGGAGGGUCUCCUGUGGCUCAAUGUGGGGGGAAGGAUACUGGCGGCAGAAGCCCCAGGAGAUACUGAUCAGUACAAGCUGUGCAGGGAUACCUCAGGCCAAAUACCCAAUACGGUGGGAACACAGCCCCAGUCCUCCUCAGACAGGUAGCCUAAAGUCUUGUUUGUAAACCCACAGCUGCUGCUGCUGGGUUUUUUUGUUUGUGUGUUUGUUUUUUGCUUUUUAGGGCUGCACCCGCGGCAUAUAGAGGUUCCCAGGCUAGGAGUCUAAUCGGAGCUACAGCUGCCAGCCUUCGCCAGAGCAACACAAGUUCCAAGCCAUAUUUUCGGCCUACACCACAGCUCACAGCAACCCCGGGUCCUUAACCCACCAAGCAAGGCCAAGGAUCAAACCUGCAACCUCAUGGUUCCAAGUUGGAUUCAUUUCUGCUGCGCCAUGACAGCAACUCCCCCACAGCUGCUGCUUAACACACCCCUUGACGUGGACCUGCCCACCAGAGGGACAAGACCAGCUCCACAGGACUGCUGUUGGCAGGCAGAAGUCCCUCCCACCAGUAAGCCUGCACAAGCCCCUGGACCAAUCUCAUCCACAGCACAUCAGAGGGAUGACAAUGACAUCAGAAGCAAGAGGUACUAUAGCCCUACAGCCCAUGGAGAGGAGACUACAAACACAGAAGGUUAACAAGACAAACACCCUAAAAGAACAACUAAGUUAAGUAGAGAUAGGCAAUCUGCCUGAAAUAGAAUUCAGAGUAAUGAUCACUCAAGUCCAGGAAGUAUGGAGUCCCAUACAGGAUAAACCCAAGGAGAAAACACCUGAGACACCUAUUAAUCAAGUUGACAAAAAUUCAAAACAAAGAGGAAAUAUUAAACCCAACAAUGAAAAAGCAACAAAUAACAUAAAACAGAAUCCCCAUAAGUUUAUCAGCUGAUUUGGCAGCAGACUCUGCAGGCCAGAAAAGAGUAGCACAACCUAUUUAAAGGAUGAGAAGUGAAAAACUAACAACCAAGACACUCUAUCCAGCAAGGCUCUCGUUGAGUUUCCAAGGGACAAAUCAAAAACUUUACAGACAAAACUUAAGAGAACUCAGCAUCACCAAACCGGCUUUACAACAAAUACUGAAGAACCUCUCUAGGUAGAAAAUUUAAUGCCGCCACUAUGAACAAUUACAAAUGGGAAAGCUAACAAAGGCAAACAGUGAAGGCAGGAAAUCAUCCACAAAUAUGAUUUAUCAAAUACAGCAAUCAUGGGAGUUUACGUUGUGGCUCAGUAGUAACAAACUAGACUGGUAACCAUGAAAAUGGAGGUUCAAUCCCUGGCCUUACUCUGUGGGUUAAAAUGGCCUUGCUGUGAGCUGCAGUAGGUUGCAGACAAGGGUUGGAUCCUCUGUGGCUGUGGCGCAGGCUGCUGGGUGUAGCUCCAAAUCAUCCCCUAGCCUAGGAACUUUGAUAUGCCACAUAUAUGGCCCUUUUUUAACAACCAGCACAACCAGCAAUUGUGAGGUACAAAUGCAGGAUAUGCCAAAAGCAUUGGAAUUAAAAAACCAACAACUUACAACAAUGUUGCAUAAAGAAUGCUGUAUCAAAACCUUGGGUAACCUUUAAACAAAAAUCUACAACAUACACACACUGGUCAUCCAAACAGAUGAUCAUCAAAUCAUAGGAGAAAAGGGAAGAAAAAGCUACAAAAACUUAUCAAUUAACUAAAUGGCAAUGAAAAUACACACAUUGAGAAUUACCAUAAAUGUAAAUGGUUAAAUGCUCCAAAAUAGUUGAUUUAAAAGGUUAACAUGGCCAGGAGUUCCAGGUAUGGCACAGUGAGUUAAGAAUCCAACAGCAGUGGUUUAGGUUCCUGUGGAGGCCGAGUUGAAUCCCAGGCCUGACACAGUGGGUUAAAGGAUCUGGUAUUGUUACAGCUGCUGUGUAGGUCAUAGCUGGCCAGGGAACUUCCACAUGCUGGAGGUGCAGCCAUUAAAAGAGGGAGUUCCUUCAGCUGUAAGGAACCCAGCUUUGAGAGGUCAGCAAGAAGCCAUGCCAGAGUUCCUAUAGUAGCUCAGUGGGUUACAAGCCAGACUAGCCUCUGAGUAUGUGGGUUUGUCUCCUGGCCUUGCUCUCAGGGUUGCUGACAGCUACGACCUGGAUCCCAGAGUAGGCUUGGAUCUGGCAUUGCUGUGAAGUAGGCCAACACUUACAGCCCUGAUUGGAGGCCCUAGAGUGGUAACCUCCAUAUACUGCAGGUGAGGCCCUAAAAAAAGAUAAAUAAAAUGGUCAAAUCAAAGGAAUGCAGGAGAGGAGUGUGUGCCUUCAGGGAAGGAGGAGCAGAGAGGAGAAUGGUGAGAUUUUCUCAGGUCUUGGCACCUUCCUAAACUUGGAUAACCUGUUACAGAGGCUUUAACUUGAUUCUUUUAACAUGGGUGAUGUCUCUGUAUGAUCAUCUGCAUGUAUGAUGCAUCUGACAAAAAAAUUUUAAAUUAGGUGCUAACAAAAGACCCUUUGAUAGCAUCAACGUUUAGCAUCCCAGGCCUGCCCAAUAAACUGAAAUAAACACAAUUUAGAAACUGUUUAUUUUACAUCCAACUCACUUCUAUUUUUAGAAAAUAAGAGUUCAUGGAAGAACUUAAGACCACUCAGUGGUUGUUCCUACCCAUUCAGUGGCCUGCGCAGUGGGAGCUGCAGACCAAUCUUCAGUGGUAGGCUGAGCACUCCAAUCUUCUGUUGAAGGGAGAAAAAAAAAAGCCAUCAGCCCCUUCUAAGAAUAUUUUUGUCUCCCCACAUUUCAAAAGACUAAAGAAAAGACAGCAUUUCAAAAACCACCUGAAUUCAAUCUAUCAGGUUAUUGGCACAGCUAUAGCACACUGGGAUGAAAACCUUUCAAUAUAUACAUACACAGCCAUGGAAAUAAUGAGUUAGAUUAAAAACAAGUUCCAGGGAGUUCCCAUCGUGGCUCAGUGGUUAACGAAUCCGACUAGGAACCAUGAGGUCGCGGGUUCGGUCCCUGCCCUUGCUCAGUGGGUUAACGAUCCGGCGUUGCCGUGAGCUGUGGUGUAGGUUGCAGA
RNAcentral lists this long non-coding RNA (3961 nucleotides) under Sus scrofa (pig). Its description in RNAcentral is "lncRNA (ENSSSCG00030018048.1)". Lineage: Eukaryota; Metazoa; Chordata; Mammalia; Artiodactyla; Suidae. The record is from RNAcentral.